Molecule: long non-coding RNA, 130 nt
Organism: Nothoprocta perdicaria
Lineage: Eukaryota; Metazoa; Chordata; Aves; Tinamiformes; Tinamidae
Exons: 3
Source: RefSeq, a predicted model, not a curated record
AAUGGCAUCACCACACUGGGACCCUAUAGACUUAAUAACCAGAGCCUCUACAUUAAUGGUUACAAUGAACCGCUUGAGAGACUGUCUCUGAGCUCAACCACUGAACCAAGCCCCACAUUCAGGCAUUUCA